This is a long non-coding RNA of Passer domesticus (house sparrow), 5140 nucleotides long. RefSeq lists it as uncharacterized. NCBI's taxonomy places the organism in Eukaryota, Metazoa, Chordata, Aves, Passeriformes, Passeridae. The transcript has 11 exons. The record is from RefSeq and is a predicted model, not a curated record.
CGGCAGGCCCAGGGCGGCCCGGAAGGGGAAGGGCCCGGUUGGCAACAGCGGCAGCGGCUAACGGAGUGCUGAGGAAGCCGGGGAUGGCGGGGGCUCAUUACUUGACUCAGUGACCAACAUGUAAUUUUCUGCACCAGAAGACAAGAAGGAAACAGCAAUUGUUAACAAAUAAGCCAUGCCUGUUGCAGCUGAUGUAACUGUGGGGGACCUGCCUGUGAGACACACAGGUCUAACUCCAGCUGGAAUGGAAGGAUUACAAGAAUCAUGAACUGCACUGAAUAUAAAAGCUCAACAAGCUAGGUAACAAAUCAGUCAAGAAGAACUGGAGGACAGAUUUCUUCAUGUACAUGAUGAUCACAUCUUACUCAAGCAGCAUGCAAAUGAGCAAGAGGAGAAAGCUAAAAGCAUUCCUUGCCAAAACCCUUUUAACUAGAAGUUUGGAAUGAAUUUGCAGUAGAAGAACAUUGAAAAAACUCCAUGUAAACAAAAAACCUGCUUACAGGUAUCUUCAAAUUACUUAAUUACUCAUAGUACUUUCCAAAAAUAUCUUUGUAGCCGUCCCAGGCUGCAUUUGUGAAACAGGUAUUUGCAUGUUUGUGGUUUUCUUUGUGUGUUUAGUUGAUUUUUUAAUGAAAGAAGCUUAUUUGCUUGUCAGUUUUUAAUUCCUUUGGCAUUUUUUUGCUGCAUUGUUACUCUGUAUUUAAACCUAUUAGCUGUGUUACUUAAAUUAAUUAGAUGUAUGUAGUACUGCACAUUCAUAUUCUUCUCUGUUUGGGACUGUGUCUUGGACAUUGGUGUAUUUGUGGUUGAGAACAAUUAACUGAAAAGCCUUUUGUUUAUUUUGCCAGACAGAGGGCAGGUGACCUUGAGAAGUUUGGUACAUAUUUUGCAUAUUGAUGUAUGUAAAAUAUUUACAUAUUUUACAUAUUUGAUACAUGUUUUACUUGCUUGGUUUUCAGUUAUGAAUAUGGAUGGGUAAAAGUUUUUGAGCCAUUAAUCCAGUAAAUAAAAUAGUCAGGGCUCCUUAAGAGUAGUCAUGGUAUUGUAUCCAUGUCCUGCUCAUAUGGAAGCAAAGACAAGAUGCAAGGGAUGUGGUUUAAUUAGACCUCAAUUUUAUUAGCUUAGCCAUCUGGGAUUUACUGGCAUAAAUUUGUACAGUGGAGGUCAAGAUCCUUUCUUUAAUCAUUUCCUUCUGGUGUAAGUUGCUAUCAGUGCCCCAUUCCCACACAGCUGGUCCCCAGCCUGUUACUGGGACUCCACUCUACAUGCUUUUAAUCCAAAUGAUAAGAGGUCUGGAAGGGAGAUUGUCUCUUUGGUGUAGUUCAGACAUUAACCCCAAAGAUAAUCCUUAGCUUUUUUAAGAGUCACUUUCUCCUAACUUCGUUUUCCAUUUCAAACUUUUAAAGGCAGCAUGAAGAUGAGGUUUAAAGGAAGGAUAGAGUUCAUGUUCCUUAUUUCUGCAGUUGUGGUAGAAAGCAUAGAGCUAGAUUGGUUUGUCCAUUAAUUCAUGUUAUUGCCUCCAAAGGGAUAUUAGUUUUCUUUUUUUCUGACUUCUGUUCAGCUCUACUUCCAUGUGUCCAGGUUCUGUAGCAAUAAUUUAUUUUUUUUCUUUUGAGCACUAAAGAAAAUACGCUUGAAAAUACUACUUACCUCAGUACAAGUUUAGCCUUAUACAUUACUUUGAGGGAAGUAUUUGUUUUAGUGAAAAAUACUAGUUAAUUUCUAUUAAAUCUGCAUAACCCCUAUUUUUAAGUAAUAUCCGAAUACCUGGGCAGAUGUUUAGGGAGCAGAAAAUACCUGCCUCAGAAGGAGAAGCCUUCUCAGAAGGAAUAGCCAUUUUCUAUUCUACUAGUUUGUGACUUCAUUUCUAGAAAAAUGAUCCUUCGCAACAGCGUCUUCCUCAAUUAACUGUGCCUUACCCACGAAAUCUGAGAAGAUCUCAUUGUUCAACAGCAAGCUCUUUUUCAUAUACCUUGAUGCAAUGGACAUUUCUUAUGCAUAUUUUAUUUGAAUAAAUAAAGAAAUUGUGAUCAAUGUAAUGCACUAAUAAGGAAUUAAUUGCACAUGCUUUCUCUAGCUCUUACAAUUGCAAGAAUUGAAAUGAUCCAAAUUAAAAAAAAAAUUCACAUCUGAAUUUGAAUAAUUUGCUCCAUAAUAUUAAUAUCUAAAACCUGUUUUAAUCAAAUGCUGUUUCAUUCACUAUUGAAAAAAUAGUUAAUGUUGACUGUCAGAAGCUAUGGAGUUUACAUCUGUACAUCAUAAAUUUCACUAUCAUCUGCUCCUUUUUCUACUUAAAAAGAAAAAAAAAAAGCCCCCUGCUUAAAAAAGAAAGGAAAAAAAGGGGCCUUUGAAGGCAUCAGACCCUUUUGUUUGAUGUGUGGAACAAGAUUAAUAAAAACGUGCCACUACAUUAGCUUUUAAAUAGCUAGCAUGAGACAGUGCUGCUGUCUAUACUCACCACAACUUUAAUUUAUGUAGAUAACAUGUUUUGGACACAUGAUAGUUUUAGCUUUGAGUUAGGCCUGUUUCUUGGGGAAGAUCUCAGAUUUGUGACUGUGUUUAUCUUUUAUGCAAGGACAAUUAACUGGGUAAUGCCAAAACACAAUAGCAUUUGAUAUUUUGAAGAAUAAAAGGAAAAACCAUCUGUAUCCAGCUGGUUUACAGAUGUGUAAACUUUGUAAUCCAUUCUCUUGCUCCAGCAUGGCAUUGUGACUGUAUGUCUAAAAUUUAUAAAUAUUGGAAGAGAAAAUGCCUUUUUAAAUGUUAAGGAUUUUUUUGAUGUAUAAUAAUUUAUAUCAAUACAAAUCAUUAUCAAAUCUUGUAGUUGUAAUCUUAGAAUUGUAAGAAUAUCUACAUAAAUAUUAAAUUAUUUUCAUGCAGUUGACACACCUGUAACAUGUUUGAGUACAAGCCUUCAGUUGUUACAAGUUGCUAAAACCCUUUUAUUACCAGAAUUUAAUAUGUUUAAACUAUAAGAGAGAAUUUUUAAAAAUGGUAUUCUACUGGCACCAAAUAUUUCAGAUGGUGAAAAAGUGAAUGGAGAACAAAUAAUCUCUUUAAGUACGAGAUGCAAGUUUUUUCUGUCAUGUCCUGUUUUAUACAAUAAUCAAAGAUGUUGAUGUAUUGUUUAAAGCUGCUGUAUCUUCAUGUUUAUUCACCUACAUUCUGUAAUGUCAAUUAUAGAAGAAAUUAAUUUGUGCAUUAAACACUAAAUCUCCUACAUUUUUGUAAUCAGCUUUUGUAGAAAGCUGAUUUGCAAAACAAGUUCAACUUUUCAAAAGCUGAUGAUAUAGUUAUUUUUAAAUUUGAAGACUAAAUGUUUGGGACAGUGUGGAAAUUAUGAAGGUCUGUAAACAACUGGUUGAGAAAAGUAGUUCUGUUUCAGCAAUGGAAUGGAAAUUUCUCCAGUUUCAAGAGAUAGUUGGAAUUUGGUCAGUACAUUUCUCUACUCUCAUCACAUAAGCCACUGUAAAUGGAAAAAAAUGUGCACAGUUUUUGAUUUUGAAUUAAUACUGAGUACAUGAAAAUGAACCACAUAUUACACAUCUCUCAAGCUGCUCCAAAUGAGGAAGGAUUUUUAGUCUUAAAUUUAGGGCUUUUUUUUAGAGGAGUCUAGGAGGUCAUCCCAGGCAGAUUUUGAAGAAUUAACUGGGUUGUCUGGUCAUUGAAAGAGACUCCUGAUGAUUUAAAGAGAGAGGUUUGACUUAAAUAUACUGGUUUACCAAAAAAGGGGGUACCAAACCACCCUCAUUUUAUCAGUCCUUGAUGAAGUUAGGGAGGUUUGGCUGUUUUGUUCUCAGUGAUUCAGUUUUAACUUGUGUUCUUACGUUCAUGGAAAUUAUUUCAAAGGGCAACUGUAAUGAUUUUCUUUAUAAAAAGAACAGUUUUAUGAAAAUAUCACCAGAACAUGCAAUUGCAUGGUGGAUUCUCUGUAGGUUUUGAUUAUACAGCUCUUGCCUUCUUUUCCCAUAUGUGUUUGGAGAACUGCAUGUGCAUAUGGAGGUGAUGUGAUUGGCAGCUUGGAAAUGGGAGAGUUCCUGUAAGCAGGGGAAUCCUAACUGCAGCAGAGCUCUGUAAAGGGUCCUAGCCUUAUGAGCUGGAAGCACCAGAGCCUAAAAACCAACUAUGAUGCUUCGUUAGCAAAAGGUGAUGAACUGAAUGAACAGCAGUUAAAAUAGUUCCAUCCUCAAAACAAAUUGCAAUCAGCUAUUUCAAACAGAGGGACAGAGGAGGAAGGAAUAAACAAUCCAGAAAAAGAGAAUGAACUCUUGAACAAAAACUAUGAUAAGCUGUGUUAGUGUCUUCUGUAUGACCCAUGAGCAGCAAUGGAAAUCAAAGGAACAGCAAAUGAAACUGCAAAUUGCUAAACUAGAGAUGGCUAUCAAAUCUGAUUUAGCAGACAAAAAUGCAAUCCUUGACAAGAUCAAAGUAGAAAGAGUGCUCAGUGACACCCCAGAAGAUGAGCAGAACUUGAAUGUGAAGAUACUGAUUUUGCUGAAUCUGUUUGAAAAAGAUAUUCCAGAAGCAAAGAAAUACCAUUGAACAAGUCAUUGGUGUUUGUGAUUCACAAGAUGACAGUGCAGUAAUUGGAAAGCUCAAAGGAGCACUGGAAGCCCUCCACGCGCUGCCCUCAGUCGAGAGGGGAAUGCAAAGAUGACUGCGAGGCAUGAAAGGAAGUUUGCCACAGAAGAGCCUUCUCCCAGUGUAAAUACAUGCUUGAUAGUGCAUCAAAGAUGAGAUCUUUGUAAUUCCUACAGUAUAUUUAAUGUAUAAUUUAUAUGAAAAGGACGCUUGAUUUGCAGUUGUAAAGUUUUGUAUACUUUUCAGUCUGUUUGUUUUUAUAUUUCCCCCCUAAGGCUAAGAAUAUCUCCACAAUGGACAACGUCUUGUAAAUAAUUAAUACCUACAUGAUUGAAUGAUGUGCUUUAUUUGCAUUUUUAAGAUUUUUUCCUACAUAAAACAGUAAUAAAAAUGCAAGUCAAAAUUUUAAUUUUUAAUAAAAAAACCAUAAGCCUUAGAAAACUGAUUAAAAAUACUUUUAUGUUAUCCCUAAUCACCCCGUUAAAUGGAAUGCCUGUGAUUAGCCUCAUUAAGAAUUUUAUACUGUGAAGAUUUUAUUAAAAGCAAUAUAUGAAAAUUA